Triticum aestivum (bread wheat) is the source of this 135-nucleotide non-coding RNA. The record is from Rfam. NCBI's taxonomy places the organism in Eukaryota, Viridiplantae, Streptophyta, Magnoliopsida, Poales, Poaceae.
UAAAUACUCCCUCUGUCCAAAAAUACUUGUCAUCAAAAUGGAUAAAAAGAGAUGUAUCUAAAACUAAAAUACGUCUAGAUACAUUUCCUUUUAUCCAUUUUGACGACAAGUAUUUCCGGACCGAGGGAGUAUUUG